Non-coding RNA from Anas platyrhynchos (mallard), 784 nucleotides. The record is from RefSeq and is a predicted model, not a curated record. NCBI's taxonomy places the organism in Eukaryota, Metazoa, Chordata, Aves, Anseriformes, Anatidae.
CUUCUGGGAAAUAAUCUUCCUUCUGUAGGGGCUCAUUUCCCACCACGGGCAGCAGAGAACAGGCUGGGGAAUAACACGCUAGCUGCAUGUCUCAGCUCUUUGUGAUGAUGGGAGGAGCGGGUCCAUCGCAGUGUCUCCCACUGAAGCAGUCCCAGCACUCGGCAGCUCCUGCUGCGUGCAUUAACCUUGGCGAUCAAUCUGCAACCAACUUUAAGAUCUGGGGUUAUGAUUCUGGGGCUGGCAGGAGAGAAGUACACAUUUCCUCUAACUUGUCUCUCUAAGGCUGGGAAGAAGGACAGAAGAAAAAAAAAAAAAAAAAAAAAAAGCAGAAUCUGGACCUUGGCUUUAAACUCUUGACUUCCAAAUUUCCUGAGUAAAAACCUUGCGCAAUUAACUUCUUUCAAGACGUUGGUUUGAACUAUAAAUACGUCCCAGGGGAAAUAAAAGGCUAGGCCAAGGCAGCACAAAUGCCACAGAGCACUAUUUUUUCUACGGUUAAUUGCAAACCCUUUGGUUACUGAUGCCCUUCUGAAUAUUUUUCCUCUCACCUUCAGAUAACUUAUUCCCUGCACCUCUCCUGAGGAACAAGUUAGGGUGCUGCCCGUGCUGGACUCCUUCAGAAUUUAAUGAAGACAUUUGGCCUCUUCCAAAGGACUUGACUUGAUCCUGAGUGCUGUGAAGGUGAUUAAUGAGACACACAGAAUUAGUGCGGUGCACAAUAAUGCAGAGCAUCCUUUCCUAUCAUCGUGCAAGAAAACACGAACUAGUUUCAGUAUUACUUAUA